RNAcentral lists this ribosomal RNA (392 nucleotides) under uncultured bacterium. Its description in RNAcentral is "bacterial SSU rRNA". It matches the Rfam family "Bacterial small subunit ribosomal RNA", at positions 29 to 428 of the family's 1533-position model. The record is from RNAcentral.
AAUGAACGCUGGCGGCGUGCUUUACACAUGCAAGUUGAGCGAGGCCACCCGCAAGGGUGAGUCGAGCGGCGAACGGGUGAGUAACGCGUGGAUGACCUGCCCUUUAGUGGGGAAUAACCCGGGGAAACUCGGGCUAAUACCGCAUAAGACCGAGAGGUGAAAGCGGGGUCGCAAGAUCUCGUGCUAAUGGAGGGGUCCGCGUUCGAUUAGCUAGUUGGUAGGGUAAUGGCCUACCAAGGCGACGANCGAUAGCCGGCCUGAGAGGGUGAUCGGCCACACUGGAACUGAGACACGGUCCAGACUCCUACGGGAGGCAGCAGUGGGGAAUCUUGCGCAAUGGGCGAAAGCCUGACGCAGCGACGCCGCGUGAGGGAUGACGGCCUCGGUUGUAA